Molecule: ribosomal RNA, 478 nt
Filed under: uncultured bacterium
Lineage: Bacteria
Description: partial 16S ribosomal RNA
Rfam family: Bacterial small subunit ribosomal RNA
Source: RNAcentral
GAUGAACGCUAGCGGGAGGCCUAACACAUGCAAGCCGAGCGGUAUUGUUUCUUCGGAACUGAGAGAGCGGCGUACGGGUGCGUAACACGUGUGCAACCUGCCUUUAUCUGGGGGAUAGCCUUUCGAAAGGAAGAUUAAUACUCCAUAAUAUAUUGAACGGCAUCGUUUAAUAUUGAAAGCUCCGGCGGAUAGAGAUGGGCACGCGCAAGAUUAGCUAGUUGGUGAGGUAACGGCUCACCAAGGCGAUGAUCUUUAGGGGGCCUGAGAGGGUGAUCCCCCACACUGGUACUGAGACACGGACCAGACUCCUACGGGAGGCAGCAGUGAGGAAUAGUGGUCAAUGGGUGCAAGCCUGAACCAGCCAUCCCGCGUGAAGGACGACUGCCCUAUGGGUUGUAAACUUCUUUUGUAUAGGGAUAAACCUACCCUCGAGAGGGUAGCUGAAGGGACUAUACGAAUAAGCACCGGCUAACUCCGU